AGAGUUUGAUCCUGGCUCAGGAUGAACGCUGGCGGCGUGCUUAACACAUGCAAGUCGAACGAAGCACCUUGGACAGAUUCUUCGGAUGAAGUCCUUAGUGACUGAGUGGCGGACGGGUGAGUAACGCGUGGGUAACCUGCCUCAUACAGGGGGAUAACAGUUAGAAAUGACUGCUAAUACCGCAUAAGACCACAGCACCGCAUGGUGCAGGGGUAAAAACUCCGGUGGUAUGAGAUGGACCCGCGUCUGAUUAGCUGGUUGGUGAGGUAACGGCUCACCAAGGCGACGAUCAGUAGCCGGCUUGAGAGAGUGAACGGCCACAUUGGGACUGAGGCACGGCCCAAACUCCUACGGGAGGCAGCAGUGGGGAAUAUUGCACAAUGGGGGAAACCCUGAUGCAGCGACGCCGCGUGAGCGAAGAAGUAUUUCGGUAUGUAAAGCUCUAUCAGCAGGGAAGAUAAUGACGGUACCUGACUAAGAAGC
This 483-nucleotide ribosomal RNA is filed under the name uncultured bacterium. RNAcentral's name for it is "bacterial SSU rRNA". It matches the Rfam family "Bacterial small subunit ribosomal RNA", at positions 8 to 491 of the family's 1533-position model. The record is from RNAcentral.